CAAUAGCGUAUAUUUAAGUUGUUGCAGUUAAAAAGCUCGUAGUUGGAUUUCGGGCGGGUGACGGCGGUCCGCCUCUGGUGUGCACUGCCGGCAUCCGCCUUUCUGUCGGGGACGGGCUCCUGGGCUUCAUUGCUUGGGACUCGGGUUCGACGUGGUUACUUUGAGUAAAUUAGAGUGUUCAAAGCAGGCGAUCGCCCUGAAUACAUUAGCAUGGAAUAGCACGAUAGGACUCUGGCCUAUUUUGCUGGUCUGUAGGACCGGAGUAAUGAUUAAGAGGGACAGUCGGGGGCAUUCGUACUUCAUUGUCAGAGGUGAAAUUCUUGGAUUUAUGAAAGACGAACUUCUGCGAAAGCAUUUGCCAAGGAUGUUUUCAUUG
This 376-nucleotide ribosomal RNA is filed under the name uncultured eukaryote. RNAcentral's name for it is "partial 18S ribosomal RNA". It matches the Rfam family "Eukaryotic small subunit ribosomal RNA", at positions 592 to 975 of the family's 1831-position model. The record is from RNAcentral.